GUACGUAAGUGUUUUGUCCAACUUUCUUCAUGAUAGUCCGUGGUUCCGUAAAUCUUGAAUAUCCUUUGGGAAUGUGCUCAGUAGCUCAAAUGGGGUUACUCCAGUUGUUGCAUGAGGAGUAGCUCGGUAGUUGUGGAGGAAUUCUGUUACAGCUUCAUUCCAUGAAUUGUGACUUCUUUCAUAGAAAAUUGUGAAAUGCAUGAGAAGUAAACUGACAACCAUUAUCUGAGACAAGGUACAUCGGAUUACCUUCUCUACUGAACACAGUGGCUAAAAAGCGAAUGAUAACAUCUGU
Molecule: long non-coding RNA, 295 nt
Organism: Girardinichthys multiradiatus
Lineage: Eukaryota; Metazoa; Chordata; Actinopteri; Cyprinodontiformes; Goodeidae
Exons: 3
Source: RefSeq, a predicted model, not a curated record